UAGCUACUCCAACUCCAAGCUCAUUACUGUGUCUCGCUUGCUCUCGUCGACAAGGAGAAGAUGGUGUCCAACCACGACGACGGCAAGCCACCGGCGAAGUGGAAGAAGGUGUGCGUCGUCGGGGCGGGCAUGGCCGGCCUUGCGGCGGCGCGGGAGCUGCGCCGGGAGGGCCACGCCGUGACGGUGCUUGAGCAGGCCGGCGACGUGGGCGGGCAGUGGCUGUACGACCCGCGCACCGACGACCCGCUCGGCGCGUCCCCGGCGCCGGUGCGCGUGCACAGCAGCAUGUACGCGUCGCUCCGCCUCAUCAGCCCCCGCGAGGCCAUGGGCUUCACCGACUUCCCCUUCCUCCCCGUCGACGGCGCCGGCGGCGGCGGCCGCGACCCGCGCCGCUUCCCCGGCCACCGCGAGGUGCUCCUCUACCUCAAGGACUUCUGCGACGCGUUCGGCCUCAUGGACGCCGUCCGCCUCAGCCUCAACACCAGGGUCCUCCGCGUCGCCAUGGCGCCUCCUCAAUGUCGCGCCCCCGCCGUCGCCGGCGGCGAGCGGAAAUGGGUGGUCAGGUCCGUACGCGUCGGCGAGCGCGACGACACGGGUGUUCAGGAAGAGGUGUUCGACGCCGUCGUGGUCGCCACCGGGCACUACUCGCAGCCCAGCGUGCCAACCAUCAAAGGAAUGGAGGCGUGGAGGCGGCGGCAGCUGCACAGCCACUCGUACCGGCUGCCGGAGCCGUUCCGCGACGAGGUGGUUGUCAUGGUGGGCUGCGGCGACAGCGGCAAGGACAUCGCGCUGGACCUCAUCAGCGUCGCCAAGGAGGUGCACCUCACGGACAAGUCGACGGAGGAGGCCACGACGCCGGCGAUGUCCAAGCUGCUCGCCAAGUACGCCAACCUCCACCUGAGGCCACGGGUCGAACACCUGUGCGAGGACGGGACGGUGGUGUUCGUCGACGGCUCGCGCGUCGUCGCCGACACCGUCAUGUACUGCACCGGGUACGUCUACUCGUUCCCGUUCCUGGACACGGACGGGGUGGUCACCGUCGACGACAACCGCGUCGGGCCGCUGUUCGAGCACGUGUUCCCGCCGGCGCUGGCGCCGUCGCUGUCGUUCGUCGGCGUCCCGAGGAAGGUGCCGGCGCCAUGGUUCUUCGAGGCGCAGGGGAAGUGGGUGGCGCAGGUGCUGUCCGGGAGGAGGACGCUGCCGCCGGUGGAGGAGAUGCUGCGCGCCGUCGACGAGCACUACCGCGCCAGGGCGGCCGCCGGCGUGCCGGUCAAGUACACGCACGAGCUCGGCGGCAUCGAGCCUCAGAAGUACAUCGAGUUCGGGGAGAAGUAUUGCGGGUUCCCGCGCUACGAGGAUUGGAAGAGGGAGAUGAUCGUGUCCACCAUCAGUAGGAGGGAUGACGACGACAUGGAGACAUUUCGCGACCGCGUCGACGACGACAGUGACCAUGUCCGGCUCUGCCUCAAGAGCUGGCACUGCUCAUCACCUGCUCGACAUCAAGCCUCUCUUGCUGUUUCUGCUGCUGAUGGCCAUCCUCCUCCUCCUCGUCUUGCACAGACGGCCAAGGCCAUCGCUGCUGAUGCUCUGUAGCUCUCAAGUCUAAACGAUUGGGGUGUAUGGUUUUAAUCCUAAGGUUCUGUGUUCAAUCCUCAACACGCUUACAAUUUCUUUUUAAAAACUCUCCCUCUAAAUCUCCUUUUUUUUAAGUCUAAACUGAACAUGUUCAGGUUCAGGUUCAGGUUCAGGCCAUGGCUGAAUUUGAGUCACCCAGAUGAUAUAAAAUAUCAGGCCAUUAAGUUUUCAGGAAGAACAUUGGCAGAGGAUAUACAAGAAAUUUUGGCAUCCCGUCAGUCAUCACUGCUGAUGAACAAGGCAGCAUUGUAAGGUUUGGUCUCGCUUCUUCUUAAAACGGGGCAUCUUCUUCUUAUAUACAAAACGUCGGCAACGGCCUGACCGUUCGAAAAAAAUGCUCUCUAAAGAUUACUCGGAAGAAGAGGUAGACGACGUCGCGUCCGGCUCCGGCGCGGCGACGACAUGGACGGCGAGGCGGAAGGAGAGGUAGGCGUCGACGCAGGCGUACUGCACCUGCUCCUUGCUCAGCCUGCGCGCGUCCCACCUGCUCGUCCCGACCUUCCUCGGCUUCGUCGUCACCCCGUCCCACCCGAGGUGCUCCUCCGCCAUGCGCUGCAUCGACGUGUUCCCCAUGCCGGCCAGCGACCGCAGCUCCACCGUGCGCGCCACCUCCAGCCCGUGCUGUUCCUCCAGCUUGCGGCAGUCGGACCGCACGCCGUAGCCGACGAACACGACGCGCUCGUCGGCCAGGAACCGCCGGAGCGCGGCGGGGACGGCGGCGUCGGCGUGCGCGAGCUGGAACACCAGGCACCGGUGCCCCGCGCACAGCUGCAGCGUGCCCGGCCGGAUCGUGGCGCGG
This is a non-coding RNA of Oryza sativa Japonica Group (Japanese rice), 2434 nucleotides long. The record is from RefSeq and is a predicted model, not a curated record. NCBI's taxonomy places the organism in Eukaryota, Viridiplantae, Streptophyta, Magnoliopsida, Poales, Poaceae.